Molecule: ribosomal RNA, 484 nt
Filed under: uncultured bacterium
Lineage: Bacteria
Description: partial 16S ribosomal RNA
Rfam family: Bacterial small subunit ribosomal RNA
Source: RNAcentral
AUUGAACGCUGGCGGCAGGCCUAACACAUGCAAGUCGAGCGGAUGAAGGGAGCUUGCUCCUGGAUUCAGCGGCGGACGGGUGAGUAAUGCCUAGGAAUCUGCCUGGUAGUGGGGGAUAACGUCCGGAAACGGGCGCUAAUACCGCAUACGUCCUGAGGGAGAAAGUGGGGGAUCUUCGGACCUCACGCUAUCAGAUGAGCCUAGGUCGGUUUAGCUAGUUGGUGGGGUAAAGGCCUACCAAGGCGACGAUCCGUAACUGGUCUGAGAGGAUGAUCAGUCACACGGGAACUGAGACACGGCCCCGACUCCUACGGGAGGCAGCAGUGGAGAAUAUUGGACGAUGGGGGAAAGCCUGAUCCAGCCAUGCCGCGUGUGUGAAGAAGGUCUUCGGCUUGUAAAGCGCUGUAAGUUGGGAGGAAGGACAGUAAGUUAAUACCUUGCUGUUUUGACGUUACCAACAGAAUAAGCACCGGCUAACUUCGUG